CUCCACGGAACAGAGAAUGGUUUUUAGAGUAACAAUGCAUCCAAGGAUAAAGAAGUUCUUCAUGUAUAUUUAUGGGAAAAUUGCUAAGGUGUAGUCUCAAGUCCUAAAAAAGCAAAGUUCAGGAAGUGGACUCCCUGAAGAAACAGGAAAGAGCACAGGAGAUGAGGAACAAACACAGCCAAUGGUGAGGCCCUCAGCAGGGAGCAAGGAGGGGGUGCUGUUGUUAAUAAAAAAAGAAGAAAGAAGAUUUUCAUCUAAAAUGAGAAAAGAGGAGAGAAAACAGCUGCAUUUAUGCAAGAUGGUCCCCACUAGAUCAUCACUAAAAUGAAAGUAAAGGAAUGAAAGAGGAGAGGUAGGAGAGGAAAAAACAAUCUGUGAGAAAUAACAACAUAUAUCAGAAGCUGGAAAGUGCAUGGAGUAGAGCUCAGUGACACAACAGAGCAGAAAAAGCAGAAGCAGAGAGGAAUGAGCGUACAAAGCAAGUCUGAAUUUACCCUGGAGAACCCCACAAAGGCUUGAAACUUGGAAACAUCAUGAACUGCUGGGCCAGAGGGAGUUAAUUUUCUUACAGUUUUGGAGGCUGGAAACCCAAGAUCAAGGACUCCUCGUCGCCAUCUUGUCUGCCCAGCUUCCCGUAGCCAUCCUCGCCUGCCUUCUCGCGCUGUUUCUAGCUCUCGCCAUCCCUCGGCGUACUCUUCCUCUCCUCCGAGUCAGAGUACCCUGGAGGGAUAAUGCUCUGCAGGUCUGCAGGAUGAUGGUGGGAAUCUGCACUGACCUCUUCUAGUCAGUCACUUUCCUGUAUGUGCAACUUUUGGUGACAAGAUGCAUGAACCCAACUGGAACCAGCUGAAGAUUAUGGAGUUGCUCUCAGCGUCCACUAAAAGCCAGAAUCCAGGCUUUGGGAAGGAAAGGUGAGGUUCUUGCUAUGUUGCCUAGGCUGGUCUUGAACUUCUGGCCUCAAGAAAUCCUCCUCCUGAUCCUCCUACCUCAGCCUUCCAAAGUGUUGGGAUUACAGGUGCUGCCCUGGUCUGUUGCGAGCAUGUCAAGGAGGUUUCUCACUUCCUCACAGGACGUGUGGGAUCAUCUCCCAGAUGAACUACCAGUUCCUAAGUAUUUGUCUGAAGGACUGGCUAGAACUUCCAUCCCUGUGGUGAAUAAGAGUGAUGAAAGUGGACACCAUCGUAUUAUUGAAUUGAAGGGGCAUGAGUGGAGCACAGAAUUUUCUGCUGGGUUUGGCUGGAGAUGAGCUGCUAUUUUCUUUCAAACCUCUUCUGUGAUAAUCAUAGAACUGUAGCAUCAGAAGGCAAUUCCCUAAGUGUGGUCUGCCCACAUCCCUGGUGGUAAGCCAAAUGAUCGUAAGUGGUAGAGCGGCAAUUACUUUUAAAAAAUUUGACAGUCAUAUAUCUAUUUCAAUGUAUAGCAAAUAUAGAAUUGGAACAUCAAACCACCUCUGAAAACGUGUUUAGAGAGAGAGUGAAGAAUGAGGGUGUACCUGGCGGAGCCACCAUCCUCUGCCACUUCUGAAACAAGCAGGUCUUCAGGCAGUCUCGGGGACUGAGGUUGUAAGUUUUAUGUCUCGACAUCAGUUCCUGCAUUGGCUCCAAUAUUACACACAACUGCAAGAAGUUCAAAGACAUUGGCAUUUCACUACUUCAUAACACUAAUUACAAUAAAUAAUGCUAACAGCUGGAAUCAAGUAGUGUAGAUGGAUAACAUGACCACAAGAGU
This 1728-nucleotide long non-coding RNA is filed under the name Homo sapiens (human). RNAcentral describes it as "long non-coding RNA NONHSAT198337.1". Lineage: Eukaryota; Metazoa; Chordata; Mammalia; Primates; Hominidae. The record is from RNAcentral.